Molecule: microRNA precursor, 103 nt
Filed under: Marmota monax (woodchuck)
Lineage: Eukaryota; Metazoa; Chordata; Mammalia; Rodentia; Sciuridae
Source: RNAcentral
AGAGGGAUAGCUGGGUCAAAUGGUGGUUCUAUUCCCAAUUUUCUAAGAAACCUCCAUACUCCUUUUCAUAUUGGCUGCACCGAUUUGCAGUCCCACCAGUAGU